UACGAAGGGGGCUAGCGUUGCUCGGAAUCACUGGGCGUAAAGGGCGCGUAGGCGGCGUUUUAAGUCGGGGGUGAAAGCCUGUGGCUCAACCACAGAAUUGCCUUCGAUACUGGGACGCUUGAGUGUGGUAGAGGUUGGUGGAACUGCGAGUGUAGAGGUGAAAUUCGUAGAUAUUCGCAAGAACACCGGUGGCGAAGGCGGCGACCUGGUCCUUUUACUGACGCUGAGGCGCGAAAGCCAGGGGAGCAAACGGG
Molecule: ribosomal RNA, 254 nt
Filed under: uncultured bacterium
Lineage: Bacteria
Description: partial 16S ribosomal RNA
Rfam family: Bacterial small subunit ribosomal RNA
Source: RNAcentral